UGAGCAAUCUGCCCUUCUCAUCGGAAUAACCAUUGGAAACGAUGGCUAAUGCCGAAUAUGACCUCGGAUCACAUGUUCUGAGGUGGAAAGCUCCGGCGGAGAAGGAUGAGCUCGCGGCCUAUCAGCUUGUUGGUGAGGUAAUGGCUCACCAAGGCAUUGACGGGUAGCCGGCCUGAGAGGGUGACCGGCCACACUGGGACUGAGACACGGCAGA
Molecule: ribosomal RNA, 214 nt
Filed under: uncultured bacterium
Lineage: Bacteria
Description: partial 16S ribosomal RNA
Rfam family: Bacterial small subunit ribosomal RNA
Source: RNAcentral